This 301-nucleotide ribosomal RNA is filed under the name uncultured bacterium. RNAcentral's name for it is "partial 16S ribosomal RNA". It matches the Rfam family "Bacterial small subunit ribosomal RNA", at positions 509 to 807 of the family's 1533-position model. The record is from RNAcentral.
CAGUAGCCACGGGAAUACGUAGGGUGCAAGCGUUAAUCGGAAUUACUGGGCGUAAAGCGUGCGCAGGCGGUUUGUUAAGACAGAUGUGAAAUCCCCGGGCUCAACCUGGGAACUGCAUUUGUGACUGGCAAGCUAGAGUGUGGCAGAGGGGGGUGGAAUUCCGCGUGUAGCAGUGAAAUGCGUAGAUAUGCGGAGGAACACCGAUGGCGAAGGCAGCCCCCUGGGACAACACUGACGCUGAGGCACGAAAGCGUGGGGAGCAAACAGGAUUAGAUACCCGUGUAGUCCCUGUCUCUUAUAC